RNAcentral lists this ribosomal RNA (301 nucleotides) under uncultured bacterium. RNAcentral's name for it is "partial 16S ribosomal RNA". It matches the Rfam family "Bacterial small subunit ribosomal RNA", at positions 509 to 807 of the family's 1533-position model. The record is from RNAcentral.
CAGUCGCCACGGGAAUACGUAGGUGGCAAGCGUUGUCCGGAAUUAUUGGGCGUAAGGCGUGCGUAGGCGGUUCGUUAAGUCUGUUGUGAAAGCCCCGGGCUCAACCUGGGAAUGGCAAUGGAUACUGGCGAGCUAGAGUGUGUCAGAGGAUGGUGGAAUUCCCGGUGUAGCGGUGAAAUGCGUAGAGAUCGGGAGGAACAUCAGUGGCGAAGGCGGCCAUCUGGGACAACACUGACGCUGAGGCACGAAAGCGUGGGGAGCAAACAGGAUUAGAUACCCGAGUAGUCCCUGUCUCUUAUAC